UGCUGGGAGGGAGAGGUGAGGGUGUACACAGAGUGACAUCACUUCAGAGAGCUAGGGUAACAGUUUCAUGGGUGGUUGAUGAUGUGGCUGUGAGGACAGACAGUGGCGGGUGGGUGGGCUGUCUUUUGGGCGGGGGCCUUGGCUCUCUCCAGGCCUCAAUUGAUGGAAUUUUCUAGAAGGGGUAUCAGCGCGGUCUACAGGAAUGCACGUUUAUCUGCUUCCCCGUUUAACUCUGCGGUGGUAACUGAUGAAUGGAUGUCUUCUACCUCGCGUCCUGAGAGGUCUCCUCAGAUCUGUCCAGUGGAGCAAGGGCACUCACUUCCUACAAACCAGCUCUCCUUGUGGCAUCUGGGCAGAAGGCCAGCCUGGUCUACACAGAGAGACCCCCGUCUCAAAACAAAAAGAAGAGGUCCGGGUUGGGAGGCUGCAGGCUUCAGACCGCCCGGGCAAAGGGACCGUGAGGGCAGCGGCUGGGGUCCGCCCCCGGCGGCGGCGCCGCGCGCGCCCUGUGGAGCAGCUGGGCGGGCGGCCG
RNAcentral lists this long non-coding RNA (532 nucleotides) under Rattus norvegicus (Norway rat). RNAcentral's name for it is "long non-coding RNA NONRATT021974". The record is from RNAcentral. Lineage: Eukaryota; Metazoa; Chordata; Mammalia; Rodentia; Muridae.